This 696-nucleotide long non-coding RNA is filed under the name Capsicum annuum. Its description in RNAcentral is "long non-coding RNA (CANN_LNC007002)". Lineage: Eukaryota; Viridiplantae; Streptophyta; Magnoliopsida; Solanales; Solanaceae. The record is from RNAcentral.
UCGGAUACAAGAUACAAUCCAUACUAAAUAUACCUCCAAGACCAAAAUCCCAUCCAAAACUAAUAAUAUUAUAUUCAUACUAUAAUGAUGUAAUGCCCCGAGAUCCUAUCUUGUGACAUCACAUGGUGCUUAUGGACCCAAAGGACCACAAGCUAAUCUUUUACUGAUAUCUGUACCUGUACAUUGCAUAAUAUCUGAAAUAAAUGUGGAAACUAGCCAUAGGGUUCAACACAUCUAUACAUACUCAAACUGAAAACUGAAUACUAUUACAUCAACAUCUGUCUAAAAAGCCUCUAAACUAUCUGAACUAUGGAGUUGAUGGGACAUGUCCCCAACUAACUCUGUCCACUGAGAAUAUAAACCAAAUCUGAUGCAUUAAUAGUAAAUUGAGAUUCGUCCUCGAAGGAAUAGGACUCACUACUACUGCUGCUAACUGGGACUGAACUGCUAAGGAAGCUUUGAAUCCUAUGCCUCUGAAACUAUGGUGUCAAAUAAAAAACCAUAGCGCAAAUAUGUCAGUAUAAAAUUUUACCGAGUAUAUAAAAAAGGUAAGGCUAAAUGCAAAGGCUCAUGCAUGCACAAUAUGUAAACUGAAUAGUCAUGAAAAUGUUGCACGAGAACAUAUACAUGAAUGCACAGAACAUGAACACAAUUAUUGCAACGCUAGAUACUGAAACCAAGAUACCACUUUAUUGC